This is a long non-coding RNA of Photinus pyralis (common eastern firefly), 934 nucleotides long. RefSeq lists it as uncharacterized. The transcript has 3 exons. The record is from RefSeq and is a predicted model, not a curated record. NCBI's taxonomy places the organism in Eukaryota, Metazoa, Arthropoda, Insecta, Coleoptera, Lampyridae.
GUGUAAAAGAACCCCGUGCUUGGGCCAUCUAAACCCACCUCGUUGGAAGACUCCUGUUGGCCUUCGAUUGUAGGGGAGGAUACGUAGUUACACACCUAGAUAUGACACUCUUUUGCUUUGACUUUCCAGGUCCCAGCGAACCCGAGUAUCUUAACCCUAGUUUACUGGCCACUAAAACUUUCAAGUUUACGGGCGUGGGGUGGAACGAACCCCAGGCCAAAAUAUUGAAAGAAAAAAACUUAUGGACCCCAGACCUGUAAACUUGAAAGUUUUUCUAAAAGUAGUGAUAAAAUAAAAACUCAAAUCCUAAGAAGGCCAAAAACGCCAAAAACGAUAGAAAAGACUAAACUUGGAAGGUACUCGAGCUCCCAGGCCAAACUAUUGAAAGAAAAAAAACUUAUGGACAUUGAAAGUGGCUGUGGGGUGCGAUCCACCUCAGACCUGUAAAUUAGGGUUAAGGUCCCCUUCAUGAGGUUAUGUUUCCAGCACCCUCGUUUAGUUUCACCUAUGAGGGUAGGAAUUGCGCUGGAGGAUACGGAUACGGGUGGCGUAUAGAAACCUGGACGUGAGAUCAUCUGUUCUCGUUAACCCGACUACUAAGAAUAGCAUGUUUGAGUGUCACUGAAUAACAUUAGUAGAGUAGUUAUGUAGCUUAAUGCAAGACAGAGGUGCUCCUUGUGCUUCUUGUACUUCAGGGUUACUGUUAUUCGAGGCCUAGAUGGUUCUGACGAAUUGGGGUCGCAUCAACAGCCGUCUGUGUGACUUAACGGCAAUCGUGGUAUGACUGCCGGAACCGCCGGCUUUACAUGCCUUCUGAAGCAUGGUAGUCCGAAGAUCUCGUGUACUCCUAAAAACUGGCAAGUUGUGGGAUUCGAACUCACAAUCUGUGAGGUUGGAAUCCUAGUCUUAAACCGCUACACCAAACUGACUAGAC